AGAGCGAACGCUGGCGGCGGGCCUAACACAUGCAAGUCGAACGGACCCUUCGGGGUUAGUGGCGGACGGGUGAGUAACACGUGGGUACGUGCCUUUUGGUUCGGAAUAGCUCCUGGAAACGGGUGGUAAUGCCGAAUGUGCCCUUCGGGGGAAAGAUUUAUCGCCAUUAGAGCGGCCCGCGUCUGAUUAGCUAGUUGGUAAGGUAAUGGCUUACCAAGGCGACGAUCAGUAGCUGGUCUGAGAGGAUGACCAGCCACAGUUGGGACUGAGACACGGCCCAAACUCCUACGGGAGGCAGCAGUGGGGAAUCUUGCGCAAGUGGGACGAAGCCUGACGCAGCCAUGCCGCGUAGAUGAUGAAGGUCUUAGGUAUUAGUUAAAUUCGUUACGACCGGAGAUAAUCGGAACCGGUACCGGAAGAACGAACGGACCCGCUAACCGUUCGUCGACCAGCC
This 454-nucleotide ribosomal RNA is filed under the name uncultured soil bacterium. Its description in RNAcentral is "bacterial SSU rRNA". It matches the Rfam family "Bacterial small subunit ribosomal RNA", at positions 26 to 516 of the family's 1533-position model. The record is from RNAcentral.